GUAUGUGGCUCAAGCGGUAGUGCGCUCGCCUGGCAUGCGUGUGGCCCGGGUUCGAUCCUCAGCACCACAUACA
RNAcentral lists this transfer RNA (73 nucleotides) under Marmota monax (woodchuck). Its description in RNAcentral is "tRNA.Ala". The record is from RNAcentral. Lineage: Eukaryota; Metazoa; Chordata; Mammalia; Rodentia; Sciuridae.